GUUACAUUGGGAUGGGGCCACCCAGCCAGUAUAGUGUUACAGUAGACAGGGGUUAUGGGGCCACCCAGCCAGUAUAGUGAUACAGUAGACAGGAGUUAUAUUGGAAUGGGGCCUGUAGUUGCAUUCAGCCCGAAUUUGUUGUGGAAGGAAGUCAUUCUUCCAGGAACAUUUGUAACAGUGGUACAUGACAUCAGACCACAGCAAGGGGAAAUAUGUUUGAUUCCAGAGGGGAACACUCUGGCACAUUUCCAAACUAAGUUUCCCCACCAACCUAAAGAUGAAGAUAAAGUUGUGUAUGAAGCUGCAGUAUUGUAGACUGAAGAUCAAUGCAGGGUAGGGAUCAGCCAGCCCCAUGGACACAAAUACCAAAUUGCCGCUCGUGGUUUGGUUUCCCCCUAUAAAGUAAUCCAUGGGACUAGUGACUGACAGAAAUAAAUAACUCUCAGGCCAGGGUCAUUUAACCACACCUACCAAAUAACACACUUUAAACGAUAUUAGUCAGAGAGAGUACUGAGGUAGUACCUGACCUGUCAUUAGCUGAGCUAAAAUGAGAGAGAGUGGAAGAGAGAGUGGAGGAAAGAGAGAGUAGAGGAGAGACUAGAGUAAAGAGAGGAAGAGAGAGUAGAGGUAAGAGAGGAAGAGAUAGUAGAGGAGAGAGGAAGAGAGACUAGAGUAAAGAGAGGAAGAGAGAGUAGAGGAGAGACUAGAGUAAAGAGAGGAAGAGAGAGUAGAGGAGAGAGUAGAGGAGAGACUAUAGAGUGAAGAGAGAGUAGAGGAGAGAGUAGAGGUAAGAGAGGAAGAGAGAGUAGAGGUAAGAGAGGAAGAGAGAGUAGAGGAGAGACUAGAGUAAAGAGAGGAAGAGAGAGUAGAGGAGAGACUAGAGUAAAGAGAGGAAGAGAGAGUAGAGGAGAGACUAGAGUAAAGAGAGGAAGAGAGAGUAGAGGAGAGACUAGAGUAAAGAGAGGAAGAGAGAGUAGAGGUAAGAGAGUAGAGUAAAGAGAGGAGGAGAGAGUAGAGGUAAGAGAGGAAGAGAUAGUAGAGGAGAGAGGAAGAGAGACUAGAGUAAAGAGAGGAAGAGAGAGUAGAGGAGAGAGUAGAGGUAAGAGAGGAAGAGAGAGUAGAGGAGAGAGUAGAG
This 1135-nucleotide long non-coding RNA is filed under the name Salmo salar (Atlantic salmon). Its description in RNAcentral is "lncRNA (ENSSSAG00000105231.1)". The record is from RNAcentral. Lineage: Eukaryota; Metazoa; Chordata; Actinopteri; Salmoniformes; Salmonidae.